UACGGAGGGGGCUAGCGUUGUCCGAAGUUACUGGGCGUAAAGCGCGCGUAGGCGGGUUGGUAAGUCCGCUGUGAAAGCCCGGAGCUCAACUCCGGAGGGUCGGUGGAUACUGCCAGUCUUGAAGGUGCUAGGGGGAGAUGGAAUUACCGGUGUAGCGGUGAAAUGCGUAGAUAUCGGUAGGAACACCAGUGGCGAAGGCGGUCUCCUGGGGCAUUCUUGGCGCUGAGGCGCGAAAGCUGGGGGAGCGAACGGG
This 253-nucleotide ribosomal RNA is filed under the name uncultured bacterium. RNAcentral describes it as "partial 16S ribosomal RNA". It matches the Rfam family "Bacterial small subunit ribosomal RNA", at positions 524 to 776 of the family's 1533-position model. The record is from RNAcentral.